ACCUACGGGAGGCAGCAGUAGGGAAUCUUCCACAAUGGGCGAAAGCCUGAUGGAGCAACGCCGCGUGGGUGAAGAAGGUCUUCGGAUCGUAAAACCCUGUUGUUAGAGAAGAAAGUGCGUGAGAGUAACUGUUCACGUUUCGACGGUAUCUAACCAGAAAGCCACGGCUAACUACGUGCCAGCAGCCGCGGUAAUACGCAGGUGGCAAGCGUUAUCCGGAUUUAUUGGGCGUAAAGAGAACGCAGGCGGUCUUUUAAGUCUGAUGUGAAAGCCUUCGGCUUAACCGGAGUAGUGCAUUGGAAACU
RNAcentral lists this ribosomal RNA (305 nucleotides) under uncultured bacterium. RNAcentral's name for it is "bacterial SSU rRNA". It matches the Rfam family "Bacterial small subunit ribosomal RNA", at positions 337 to 634 of the family's 1533-position model. The record is from RNAcentral.